RNAcentral lists this unclassified non-coding RNA (508 nucleotides) under Hevea brasiliensis (rubber tree). Lineage: Eukaryota; Viridiplantae; Streptophyta; Magnoliopsida; Malpighiales; Euphorbiaceae. The record is from RNAcentral.
GGCAGAGUUGAUGGAAUACUCCUAUCUACUGGAAUUGGCAGAUGAGUGCGAGGACCCACACAUGAGAUUAGUAUAUGCCGCAACAUGGUUCAUAUCUGUAUACUAUGCCUUACAACGCACAUGGAAGCCUUUCAACCCCAUUCUUGGUGAAACUUAUGAAUUUGUUAACCAUGCUGGAAUCACAUUUAUUGCUGAGCAGGUUUGUCAUCACCCCCCAAUUGGUGCAGCACAUGCAGAAAACGAACAUUUCAAAUAUGAUAUCACCUCAAAGGUGAAAUCUAAAUUCUUGGGGAACUCAGUUGAAGUCUAUCCACUUGGCAGGUCAAGACUCACACUGAAGAAGUCUGGUGUUGUCCUAGAUUUGGUGCCGCCUCCAACAAAAGUUCACAAUCUUAUAUUUGGGCGAACAUGGAUCGAUUCUCCUGGGGAGAUGAUAUUGACGAACUUGACGACAGGGGAUAAAGUGUUGCUGUAUUUUCAACCUUGUGGCUGGUUUGGUGCUGGUCGC